GUGAAUCAUCGAAUUUUUGAACGCAAAUUGCACUUUCUUCGGAGAGUAUGACUGUUUGAGGGUUAGCCUCAAAAUUUAGACGUAGUCGCUGUUUCGCGGAGUUAUUAGUCGGAAAUUGGGUCAUCUUAAACAAUAGGGUUUUUUAAGCGGCUUAAAAUUUUCUUUUUGAUCGCACUAUUGUUUCUAAGUAUUUUUUUUUUAUUCAUGUAUAG
Molecule: unclassified non-coding RNA, 212 nt
Filed under: Glomeraceae sp.
Lineage: Eukaryota; Fungi; Glomeromycota; Glomeromycetes; Glomerales; Glomeraceae
Description: partial contains 5.8S ribosomal RNA and internal transcribed spacer 2
Rfam family: 5.8S ribosomal RNA (bases 1-65)
Source: RNAcentral